GUUACACAAUUUGUUUUGUUUCAAAACGUUACACAAAUAUAUUUAAAAUUAAAUUGAAAGUGUGAAAGAGAGAAAAAGAGCAAGUCAGAGUUUGAGAGGCACCGGAGAUUUACGGACCGACCAAACCGCCACUCUGUAUUCAUAAGUCAACAUACAAACAAACAAUUAGAACGUUACUUUUGCAUAUGACCGACCUAACAUUUUGAGAAAAGAUAGUAAAUCCAUACCGUCAAAAUUAGAACGAUCAGUCCGCUGCAUAAGAUAUGCUCAAUUUGGUUUGUUUGCAUUACCAUUCAAAGCUUUUGUAUAUUUUCUUCUUCAAAAAAAAGAAGAAAUUAUACGAUCUAAUCAUCAUGAUUCAAAUUCUGUAAGUUGCAGCAGUUUGUCUUUUUUCUAUGAAUUAUCAUCACAAAUUUUUAAAUGGGACAAGGAAAAAAAAUUGUAAAAGGAAGAAUACGCAUCUAUAAGUUACAACCAAUUAUCAACCCCUCAAA
Molecule: long non-coding RNA, 494 nt
Filed under: Brassica napus (rape)
Lineage: Eukaryota; Viridiplantae; Streptophyta; Magnoliopsida; Brassicales; Brassicaceae
Description: long non-coding RNA (BNAP_LNC013531)
Source: RNAcentral